Molecule: transfer RNA, 73 nt
Filed under: Gemmata obscuriglobus
Lineage: Bacteria; Pseudomonadati; Planctomycetota; Planctomycetia; Gemmatales; Gemmataceae
Also listed under: 2 other names
Rfam family: tRNA
About the family: Transfer RNA (tRNA) molecules are approximately 80 nucleotides in length.
Source: Rfam by way of RNAcentral
GCGCCUGUAGCUCAGCUGGUAGAGCAAGCGGCUUUUAACCGCUUGGUCCUCGGUUCGAAUCCGAGCGGGCGCA